AAACUGGCAGUUUCGGCCAUGUACUUUUCCAUUGUGUCACUUUCAGUCGGCUAAAUCAUACCAUUAAUAUAAGCAUUACACUUUUAACUAUGUUUUGACGUAAGGUUUUUCAUCAGUCGCUUACUAUGGAAAAAGGCUUAAAAUCAUUCUGUAAAUUCUCAGACAGCAUCACAAGUGUGUCUUUGAUUUUUUCCACUCUGCUGGUUGUAACGAGGACGCCUUGGCUAGACUGAUAAUUUCCCCCCACCUCCAGACGGACAGCACUUUCCUCCUUUUUAGGUCAGUGUUACUGUUUCGGUAGACCACCCUGCUGUCUUGUGUCACGUGAGAUACGAUUCCUAAGAAAAGACCUCUCUACAUUUCUGCGUUCAAAGAGGACCCAAACACAAAUCCUAAAAUAGUGCGCUACCUACGGAUAUCUCGACAGACAUCCCAAACCAAUUUUGGCCCAUUACCAUGGAGAACGACCGCAAAUCUUGUCCGCUGAGCCCGGAUCUGAAGUUGGCCACACAAGUGUUUGCCCUCCUCAACAUUUGCAUGGACGUGGCCUUUAUCAUCUGGAUUAUCGUGGUGAUGAUAGGCCAAGAGCACGAAAUUUCGAUGACACCACGUUUGAUCAUGUUAGGGGCCCUUAUACCCAGUGCGGCCAGCAAUACAAUAUUGCUCGCGGGCUCAUUAACCAUGAGAAAAGGCUUUCUCUUGCAAUGGUUGAUCUUGAGACUGCCCAUCUUGAUUGUCUUUUGGUUGCCUUUUUUCUUAGGUUUCAAUGCUUGGCCUUUCUACUGGUUCAUGCUACCAACAAGUUUGGUGAUGAUCAUCUCUGGUUGCAUUAUCCUCACUUUUUACAUCAAGGCGGAUCAAUACAUGGGCUGAUUAAAUGUAUUCGUAAUUUCAAUCAUGCUUCGUAAUACUGAAUACGAAAAUAUUGCAAUAUCGAAACCUGUCA
Molecule: RNA transcript, 946 nt
Organism: Tigriopus californicus
Lineage: Eukaryota; Metazoa; Arthropoda; Copepoda; Harpacticoida; Harpacticidae
Exons: 3
Source: RefSeq, a predicted model, not a curated record